CAAGUCUGGUGCCAGCAGCAACGAUAAUUCCAGCUCCAAUAGCGUAUAUUAAAGUUGUUGCAGUUAAAAAGCUCGUAGUUGAACCUUGGGCCUGGCUGGCCGGUCCGCCUCACCGCGUGUACUGGUCCGGCCGGGCCUUUCCUUCUGGGGAACCUCAUGCCCUUCACUGGGCGUGUUGGGGAACCAGGACUUUUACUUUGAAAAAAUUAGAGUGUUCAAAGCAGGCCUUUGCUCGAAUACAUUAGCAUGGAAUAAUAGAAUAGGACGUGUGGUUCUAUUUUGUUGGUUUCUAGGACCGCCGUAAUGAUUAAUAGGGAUAGUCGGGGGCAUCAGUAUUCAAUCGUCAGAGGUGAAAUUCUUGGAUUGAUUGAAGACUAACUACUGCGAAAGCAUUUGCCAAGGAUGUUUUCAUUAAUCAGUGAACGAAAGUUAGGGGAUCGAAGACGAUCAGAUACCGUCGUAGUCUUAACCAUAAACUAUGCCG
RNAcentral lists this ribosomal RNA (484 nucleotides) under uncultured Cladosporium. RNAcentral describes it as "SSU rRNA". It matches the Rfam family "Eukaryotic small subunit ribosomal RNA", at positions 556 to 1044 of the family's 1831-position model. Lineage: Eukaryota; Fungi; Ascomycota; Dothideomycetes; Cladosporiales; Cladosporiaceae. The record is from RNAcentral.